RNAcentral lists this ribosomal RNA (531 nucleotides) under Triticum aestivum (bread wheat). Its description in RNAcentral is "partial small subunit ribosomal RNA". Lineage: Eukaryota; Viridiplantae; Streptophyta; Magnoliopsida; Poales; Poaceae. The record is from RNAcentral.
AUGAUAUUGCACCAACGUGUCUGGAAAGGGUUAGCACAUGAUGCUAACAUACUUAGUGACAUCACGAGUUGUCCUGAUGGCAUCAACAUCAUUGAUGGCAAGUUCUACCUAGGAGAUGAUGUCUAUGCAUGUCGGCCAUGUGUACUUCCACCCUUCAGGAAGACCCGGUAUCAUCUGAAUGAGUUCUCUAGUAGGAACUACCCUAGGACUCCACAUGAACUAUUCAAUCUGAGACACUUCAGCCUUAGAGUAACGGUUGAGAGGGUAUUUGGAGCUCUGAAGAACAUGUUCAAGAUCCAGGAUCAGAAGCCAUUCCACCCUUACCCUACCCAGGUUAAGCUUGUUCUUGCAUGUUGCAUUUUGCAUAACUAGAUCCUGCAAUGGAGUUGUGAUGAACUGGUGCCUGAGAAGGAAGAUGUGACGCCUGACGAUAUUGACCUCGGUGACCAUGGUGUUGAGGCAUUUGACAACAAAGCCUGGAAGAACAAAAGGCUGGAGUGGGCACAAGCAAUGUGGGAUAACAGAGGUUAG